AUGAUAUCUGGAACUGUGGAGGGGAAGGAGGGAAGGGGGAAGGAAGGAGGAGGGAGGGAGGGGGAGGGGAAUGGGAACGGGGAGGGAGGGAGAGAGGGGAGGGGAGGGGAGGAGGGGGACUGGAGGGGAACCCAGGAGCAGGAAGGGAGGAGUGAGGGGGAAGCCAGGGAUUUACUUGCUGCACUUGGGACUAAUAUUCCAACAAGUGAGAGGUGGCUUUCUGAGAGUCAGGAGGUGACCGACCCCAACCACAAGCAGGUUCGGUGGUUGGAGCAGCCAGCAGGGGUGUCAAAGGACUGGCCCCUGGCUCCCCAAAAGUGUAGCCCCUCUCUGUGCAUCAAUGGGCUCAGGGCCCACCCCACCCCCAGGCAGUGGACCCCAAGAUCCCCCCUCCUGGCUCUGUAUUUUCAUUCAUCUGAUCAGCAGGAGGCAUGUCUGGCUUGCCAGGAGGACCCACAUGUGCUGUGUGUCUAUAGCGCUUCCCUCCUCCCCAACCCCUGUCCCCUCCCUAUCCCCUGGGUUCCUCUCCCCAUCCCCAAGUUCCCCUCCCUGUCCACCGUCCACUCCCCAUCCCUGAAUUGCUCUGUGCAGCACUUCAGACCACCUACUAGAAAGGGCAAGGAGCCCAAAGUGAACUUUCUGAGGACCCGCCUGCCCCAAAUGCCUCUGUUCCAGCUCCUGGAGGGGCGGGAGGACGCAGUCCUGUGGGGCUGGGACUUGGCUGCUGACACUGUCGCCUGGUCCUGGGCUGGGCCUGCCCACAGGAGUGCCAGGGCAGAGGGAGGGCACACACACAGCUCACCUGCUCUAAGUCGCAGGCACCCACAGGGUGGGAGAGCAUGCAGGAUCCUGGGAUGGCCUAUUCCGCUGGAGCUCCAAGGGCCUUGUGGGGGCUCUGAGCAGAGUCUGGUCCAGGGGGGGAGGGGGGCCUCUGGGCCGCGCUGCCCCCUCCUGAAGGCCAUCCCCAGCCACACUCCACUCUGCUCUGCGGAGUGCCUUCUGCCUCUUCCAGGGUCGCUCCCAACAUCCAGGACGGCCCAGGUGCCCUCCCCACCCAGUCCGGAGAAAGGAGGCACUGGGGGAGAGGGUGGCCCUGUCACUCUGUCCUGCGCAGCCACGGCAUUGUAG
Molecule: long non-coding RNA, 1128 nt
Filed under: Canis lupus familiaris (dog)
Lineage: Eukaryota; Metazoa; Chordata; Mammalia; Carnivora; Canidae
Description: lncRNA (ENSCAFG00040004379.1)
Source: RNAcentral